UUAAGUUGCUCCCCUCCCCCAACCCUUGCCAGCAAUUCCCAGAUAUCCCCUUACCUUGUGCUUUUCCCCCUAGUACUGACGUUCUUAUAAACAAGCUACGUACUGUCUGUUCCCCCACUACAAGGAAAGCUCCACGAGAAUAGAAUGUCUUUUUCCUUGCUGUUUUCCCAGUAUCUGGGCAACGAAUUAAGGAACCUGUGAGUAGGGGUCAAGAUCUCCUUUCACAAAGAAACACCUGGCCUCAGGUGGGUAAAGGGCCUUGUUCACAGCCGGUGGUGGGCGGAGCCGGAGUGUGAGCAUCGCCCACCAUUCCACAAUGCUCCCUGCCUCCCCACGUACCCAGAACCAGGAGGCUGCUGGGUGGCCGAGAGCCUUUACUUUGGUGGCUAAAGGUGGGACAUCAGUGACUAAAGCUCUGACAUUGAAGUCCAGGCGUGUGCCCACGCCCAGCGGCAGCUGCAUGGUGUGCCACAUUGUGGACAGAAAGGACGCAAGAACAACCGAGAAAGUGCACCAUUGAAAGCAUGAUUGAAACUCAUUUUUUUGACCUACAUGAGAUCAUGGAACACUUAGCUGUUUUAUAAAGGAGCACUUCCCAGACGUCAGUGUGUGACCAUCUGCUCUUCUCUGCCUCAGAGGGUUCAUAUGGCCACAGAGCUUCGACACGCAACUCGAUACCAACGACUCUCAAGCUAAAAGCCAGAUUAGCUUGGUCAUUUCAUGACCACUUUUAUUCAGGUUUCUCCAGUUUCCAACAGGAAUUUUCUACUGGAUGUCCUCUUGUCACUUCAAACUCAAUGUAUACUAAAGCUGCUCUCUGUACUCUCCUACUGUCCCCCAAUAUCCAUUCACCUCUUCUCUCACACAAAUAGAUCUUCUAUUUUUCGCUUGGCAUAUGAAAUCUUGGAAUAAAAAUUUAGAGUGUGUCCAACUUCUGAGAAAUUUCCUUAAAGAGCAGUCCUUCGUAUUAAUCUCUUUCUUCUUCCUUCUAGCUGGAAUGAGGACAAAAUGGUGGCACUCUAGUACCAUCUUGGACUACGUGGAUGAGAGCCCCACCGUAGGGCUGGUGGAAUAGAAAGCUAGAAGGAGCCUGAUGAUUGUGUGAAACAUCCCUAGAUAUAGAAUACCUCCAACUUUUACAUGAGAAAAUAAA
Long non-coding RNA from Diceros bicornis minor, 1153 nucleotides. RefSeq lists it as uncharacterized. The transcript has 4 exons. Lineage: Eukaryota; Metazoa; Chordata; Mammalia; Perissodactyla; Rhinocerotidae. The record is from RefSeq and is a predicted model, not a curated record.